ACGGAAGGCAGCAGUGGGGAAUAUUGCACAAUGGGGGAAACCCUGAUGCAGCAACGCCGCGUGAGUGAAGAAGUAUCUCGGUAUGUAAAGCUCUAUCAGCAGGGAAGAAAAAAGACGGUACCUGACUAAGAAGCACCGGCUAAAUACGUGCCAGCAGCCGCGGUAAUACGUAUGGUGCAAGCGUUAUCCGGAUUUACUGGGUGUAAAGGGAGCGCAGGCGGUCUUGCAAGCCAGAGGUGAAAACCCGGGGCUCAACCCCGCGGAUUGCCUUUGGAACUGUAGGACUUGAGUACUGGAGGGGCAGGCGGAAUUCCUGGUGUAGCGGUGAAAUGCGUAGAUAUCAGGAGGAACACCGGUGGCGAAGGCGGCCCGCUGGACAGAAACUGACGCUGAGGCUCGAAAGCGUGGGGAGCAAACAGGAUUAGAUACCCUGGUA
This 436-nucleotide ribosomal RNA is filed under the name uncultured Lachnospiraceae bacterium. RNAcentral's name for it is "partial 16S ribosomal RNA". It matches the Rfam family "Bacterial small subunit ribosomal RNA", at positions 341 to 792 of the family's 1533-position model. Lineage: Bacteria; Bacillati; Bacillota; Clostridia; Lachnospirales; Lachnospiraceae. The record is from RNAcentral.